AUCUGCUGGGCGGAGCAUCUGAGUUUAGCUGAGUCUCGGAGAUGGAAUUGGGGCAGGCGCUUGUCACAUAAAGUCCGUGCCCUGCUCGCGGGCUCCUGUCGCAACACUGACAAACCCGGGAGCCUUCGUGAGAGUGCAAAAAUGAGAGAUGAGGCACCAGAGGUCCCCAGGGCGCAAAUCUGAAAGCCAGCGCCUCCUGAGCACAGGCUGCCAGGGGCGAGACGACAUUAGACAUUGCCCCCCAGAUAUAAGAAGCAUCGCUUCCUUCAGACAGAGCAGAUUGAUAGAUGAAGCAUAAAACAAGACCAGAUGCUGUGGUUUCCAGGAUGCACUUGGCUUCCCAUCCUUUAUGACCUGGAGCAUUUUUUGCCGUCUGUUCCUGAUGUGUCCACCAGAGACCAGUCCCAUUAGGUAUCCAUAAGGUUUAAGAACAUGGACAUUGCAACCCAACAGACUUGGCUUUAGAUGUAAGAUCUGUUAUUUACUAGCUCUGUGGCUUUGGGCAAGUUAUUAAGCUCUAUAAGCCUCAAGUUCCUCACCUUUAAUACAGGGACAAAAGCGGUACUCACACCAUGGAGUUGCACUGAGAAUUAAAUGAGACAGUGCAUGGCAAGUGCUGAGCUCUAUGCCUGGCACUUAGCAAGUCCUCAAUAAACAUGCCAUUGUAAUACCUCAGAUGUUAUUUUCAUUAUACUAUGAAGUGAUAUUCUGUCAUUUCCAGAAGCCCUGUAUGGACAAAGAUUCCUUCAUAUCUCCUUAGUGUUUGCAUGAGGACUUCAUCUCUCAAGUUGUCAACUGUGGCAUCUUGUCUGGGAAUGUUUAUCUUCUCUGACUUGUGAAGAGGCUAUGCCUCUCUCUCUUUGAACUCUUAGUUCUCUCAUUCUCAGUUUUAAUACACUCCUCUGAGUGAGUCUUACUGAUUAGUAGUCUAUAAACCAUUAAUGAUAGUUAUAUAAAACCUGUAAGGUUCCAUCCUUGUGACCCACCCCCCCCAGACAAAUAAGUUUAAAAUAUUGGUCAAUCCAUGAAAAUGACUAUCUGGAUAUUUCUCAGUUCACUGAAGACCAUCAUUAAUAUUGGCUGUCGUUCCCAUUCUGUCUAAUAACAGCCAUUUAUUGAGCUUACAGUUCUUGCUCUCAUGGAGUUCUGAAGACUCAAAUAUCUUGUGAAAAUGCAAGUCUUCAUAGAACUAUUGAUUUUUUUUAAGGUAGAGGUUUAACCUACCUUUCAUCUCCAUUCAUUAUUUGUUUUGGGAAAACUUCCUUACUUAGAUUGCCGAGUGACUUUUGCACAGAAGAAAGAAAUUAGUUCAAUGGAUGAAAGUGAGAUGCUGAACCAGAUUUGAGAUUUUAGAGGUCAAUCCUUUGCAUGUCUUAUCAUUUCUUUGCAAAAUACAACCUUUUUGUAACACUUGAGGACUAUCAUAACAUCAGAGCUGCUAUUCUUCAUACAAUAUUUAAUUCCUUUGAACAUAACAUGUUUUUUAAAAAAUAUUUACUAUGUGCAACUCGUGGAAAUGCUCCUAAAAUUGAGGGAGUUCUACUGAGCAAAAGAAAUGGAAUAUCCUGUAUAGAGACUGAGUGCAUGGCUUCCAAAGGCAAAGGCAAGGGCAAAACUUGCUAAUUUUAGAUGUUUAGGGAUGAAAUGUCUACUAGACCUUGUUUCAUCUUAGAGAGACCCAACAGUAGCAUACUAGCAAGCUACUGUUAAAUUUGCCCUCCCCACCUGUUUAUUGCCAGUGUUUCUGGAAACAGAAAAACAAAACAAAGGGGUAAGGAAAAAAAAAAGCAAAGUCUGCAUGUAACUUGAGUUAGAGAAGUGCAGGAAACAAAUCAAAUAUACUAAGUUAGCAGUGCUCAAAGUCCCAUUCAACUUCAGAAUAGUAUACCUGGUAGAGUUCCACAAACCUUUCUCCUUUCUAGCCUGCUGCUUAUUAAGUUUAAAUGCCAGAACCAUUCUGAGAGCUCUGAAUGCCCAUAUGAGGCCUAGAGCCAGAGACAUGCCCCACACCCAUUUCUUUAUAUUUUCUGAAU
Molecule: long non-coding RNA, 2033 nt
Organism: Orcinus orca (killer whale)
Lineage: Eukaryota; Metazoa; Chordata; Mammalia; Artiodactyla; Delphinidae
Exons: 4
Source: RefSeq, a predicted model, not a curated record